RNAcentral lists this ribosomal RNA (255 nucleotides) under uncultured prokaryote. Its description in RNAcentral is "partial 16S ribosomal RNA". It matches the Rfam family "Bacterial small subunit ribosomal RNA", at positions 521 to 775 of the family's 1533-position model. The record is from RNAcentral.
UAAGUCGUAGGUGACGAGCGUUAUCCGGAUUUACUGGGCGUAAAGCGCGUGCAGGCGGCGCGGCAAGUCGGGCAUGAAAGCUCCUGGCUCAACCGGGAGAGGUUGCCCGAUACUUCCGCGCUCGAGGGCAGGAGAGGAAGGCGGAAUUCCGGGUGUAGUGGUGAAAUGCGUAGAGAUCCGGAGGAACACCAGUGGCGAAAGCGGCCUUCUGGUCUGCUCCUGACGCUAAGACGCGAAAGCCAGGGUAGCGAACGG